RNAcentral lists this ribosomal RNA (161 nucleotides) under Odontarrhena inflata. RNAcentral's name for it is "5.8S ribosomal RNA". It matches the Rfam family "5.8S ribosomal RNA". From Rfam's summary of the family: 5.8S ribosomal RNA (5.8S rRNA) is a component of the large subunit of the eukaryotic ribosome. It is transcribed by RNA polymerase I as part of the 45S precursor that also contains 18S and 28S rRNA. The record is from RNAcentral. Lineage: Eukaryota; Viridiplantae; Streptophyta; Magnoliopsida; Brassicales; Brassicaceae.
AAACGACUCUCGGCAACGGAUAUCUCGGCUCUCGCAUCGAUGAAGAACGUAGCGAAAUGCGAUACUUGAUGUGAAUUGCAGAAUCCCGUGAACCAUCGAGUCUUUGAACGCAAGUUGCGCCCCAAGCCUUCAGGCCGAGGGCACGUCUGCCUGGGUGUCAC